This 18-nucleotide small nuclear RNA is filed under the name Arabidopsis thaliana (thale cress). Its description in RNAcentral is "snRNA_02352". The record is from RNAcentral. Lineage: Eukaryota; Viridiplantae; Streptophyta; Magnoliopsida; Brassicales; Brassicaceae.
GGAGCCUCAACAGCAGCU